RNAcentral lists this transfer RNA (66 nucleotides) under Apatania sp. YW-2014. RNAcentral's name for it is "tRNA-Arg". The record is from RNAcentral. Lineage: Eukaryota; Metazoa; Arthropoda; Insecta; Trichoptera; Apataniidae.
AAAUAGGAAGCUAUAAAGCAGUUAAUUUCGACUUAACUUUUGAGUAUUUUAGCUACUCCCUAUUUA